UAGAAGCAGCCAUCAUUUAAAGAAAGCGUAAUAGCUCACUGGUCGAGUCGGCCUGCGCGGAAGAUGUAACGGGGCUAAACCAUGCACCGAAGCUGCGGCAGCGACACUCAGGUGUUGUUGGGUAGGGGAGCGUUCUGUAAGCCUGUGAAGGUGUGUCGUGAGGCAUGCUGGAGGUAUCAGAAGUGCGAAUGCUGACAUAAGUAACGAUAAAGCGGGUGAAAAGCCCGCUCGCCGGAAGACCAAGGGUUCCUGUCCAACGUUAAUCGGGGCAGGGUGAGUCGACCCCUAAGGCGAGGCCGAAAGGCGUAGUCGAUGGGAAACGGGUUAAUAUUCCCGUACUUGGUGUUACUGCGAAGGGGGGACGGAGAAGGCUAUGUUGGCCGGGCGACGGUU
RNAcentral lists this ribosomal RNA (393 nucleotides) under Salmonella enterica subsp. enterica serovar Bareilly. Its description in RNAcentral is "partial 23S ribosomal RNA". It matches the Rfam family "Bacterial large subunit ribosomal RNA", at positions 1107 to 1503 of the family's 2925-position model. The record is from RNAcentral. Lineage: Bacteria; Pseudomonadati; Pseudomonadota; Gammaproteobacteria; Enterobacterales; Enterobacteriaceae.